UAAAUGUUGUCUGAUUUGAAGAAAAAUUGUAAAUUGUCAAGUAUCCAAAGAAGUUUUUUAUUAAACAAAAAAAAUUGUAAAUUGUCAAGUACAAAAACAAUAAAGGCGCCACGAAAAAAACGAGCAAAAACACAUAUAUUUAUACAUGUAUAUUACUCUCAUAAAUCAUUUGGGAUUGUAGAAAAAAUAGAAUGUUCUGGUUUGUGAUGGCAUUCAAAAUCGAGGUGAACAAAAGCUCUUUCCACUUCUGGAAGUUCUUCAAGCUUUAUUUGCAAUGAUUCACCAAUUGCAUGAGCUUCUUUUAAUGGUAAAUCCUCUGGAAGUUCUAUAUCCACCUGCCAAAACACAUAUAUAAUAACAUAUGUUAAACUUAAUUACGAAUUAACCAAACCUCAUAAAUUUAUGAUGUAAUAUAAAUUAUGCAGUGGUCAAGUGCAUUUAGAAAUUGACAUCUAAAUUUUAACUAUAUGUUUGCAACAUGAAUGUGUUUACAUACAUAGACAUACCUCAACAAAGUAAAGAACACCAAAGGUAUAGGCACGAACGGUAUCAACACGUUUGAUGUUAUCGGCGCCUUGUCGCAACACUAGAUAUGUCAACUUCUGUAAUACUUCCGGUGGAGCUGAUUGUCCGAUCAAUGAGACUACACAUAUACAAAACACAUAAUGAUAAAUAACCCAAUCUUAGACCACAUGCUAAACGCAUCGAGAGCUUGAGGAAUACGAUUCAAAGGUCUCCUUUUACUAUACCGAUGGAAGAAAUGAUUAGACGUAUACAGAGUAGGUUUGAGAGGGACUCAGCCCCUGUCCCUGAUUUUAGCAACCGGGAGGCUUCAGAAAGAGUGAACGAUCGAGCCAACUCGAUUCUUAACCGGUUGAUGACUUCUAGAGGAGUUAGAUCAGAGCAGAACCAGGCUAGUGCUGCUGCAGCAACAGCAUCAGAGGAUAUCAAUCUGAACCCGGACAUUGCUGCUCCUGAUCUUGAAGGAGAGACCACCACGAGAUUCCAUCCUCUGUUGAUCAGGAGACAGCUACAGUCACAUAGAGUCGCAAGGAUCUCGAACUUCACUUCUGCGUUGAGUUCUGCUGAGCGGCUUGUAGACGCGUAUUUUAGAACGCAUCCACUGGGGAGGAACCACAACCACCAAGAGCUGAACCAUCAUUCUCCUGUUGUGGUUGAUGAUAGAGACUCUUUCUCAAGCAUUGCAGCUGUUAUAAACUCUGAGAGUCAAGUGGAUACUGCGGUUGAGAUUGAUUCCAUGGUCACUCUUUCGACGUCUUCUUCGAGGAGAAGGAAUGAGAAUGGGUCGAGAGUUUCUGAUGUUGACAGUGCUGAUUCUCGCCCGCCUAGGAGAAGGAGAUUUACUUGAAAAACUAAAGCUUUCAGUCUGUGGAAGAUGAUGAUGAUGAAGAGGAAGAUUGUAACUGUAUUUUUCUUUUUCUUGUGUCGCUUGUUGGUUUGUUGUAUUUUGAUUUGUAAUUUUCGCAAUAGGGAUGGUAUUUUACUAUUUUUAAUCAAAGUUUUAUUAUCUUUUUUUCAGAAACUUUAUUCUGAUUGAACCUGGCAAUAGUUUCUCAACCCAUUGAAUCCAAUGUGGAAUGUGUUUCUUAUUUGACUAGUAGUGGACACCAUCAUGCAAGAUGCAUCUUAGGUGUAUAUCUAAUCAUCUUUGCACAUAAAACGCCAACGCCAACAUUCAAAUUGCAUUUUAAUGCUUUUAUAAAAAUGUAAAAUCAUUAACAAAAUGUAUAAGAAAUCAACAACCUUCUUAAGACAGCCAUGUAGGCAAAAGAAUGGAAUAGCAUGUACAUCCACUUUUGUGAAGUUUAUAAUCGAUCAGAUAGUAUCGCGUUAAUCAUCGUGCAAACAAGUCGCUUUGGCCGAGUGGUUAAGGCGUGUGCCUGCUAAGUACAUGGGGUUUCCCCGCGAGAGUUCGAAUCUCUCAGGCGACGAGUGUUUUUAUUAUUUCUUUUUGAAAUAUUACUUUCCCCUUGCGCCGUAACUCGCAACCUUUUUGUUCUCGAAACAAAAAACAAGAUACUUUGAGCAGUGUACAUGUCACAUGCGAGCAGCAACACCCGACACGUAAAUUAUUCUUUUGAAUGAUCUACUCUCAUAUGUUUCUUGUCAAUUAUUUCAGUGCUGGUUUGAACAUCAUUCUUAUUUUUUUAGUACAUAUUCCAACUUUUUUGACAAUACAAUAACCACCGCAUAAAAUACAAUCGCAGAAACGGACAUCUUCAAAACCAUUUUCAGGCUUUCAGCAUUUAUAAUCAAAAUAGCAUAUAAAUUGUAAACUUGUAAUGGUCUGUUUUACUAAAAACUGGUUGACAAUUUCUUAAAAUUAGAAGAAAAAAAAAUUACAAGUCUAAAUUUCGUGAAGAAAAUUACGUCAGCGGCAGGUAUAUAUAUAUAUAUAUAGAGAGAGCUUUAUUCGGUUUAAAGCCAAAUUUUAAAACAAAGAUAAAAACAAAAUGAAAAUGAUGUGUGCGGGAAACGAGCGUCGUCUCGUUACUCGAUGCAAGAAUCGAGCCAAUAAGAUAUUUUGAUUUUUAGAAUUAGUUAUUAGAGCUUUUCGUAAUUGGUCAUUACUUUCAUAGUUUCGUAACAAGAGUUGACUUUUGGAGUCUCAUUUCAACGUCUUUACCUGCUCUUUACUGCUUCUUUUGUUUUUACUCAUAAUAAUCAUAUGUAAUCUACGUAGUUUAAAUUUUUUGUUUGGUUAGAACUUAAAAACAUGAAAGAUACGAAAAUAAAAGUAAUCGAGCGUUAUAAGUUGUAAACACAAACGCAGAUAGUAAUAAUUAGUAAGAUAGUACAAAAUCUAAUAAAGUAUAAAUAAUUGUAAUUAAGGGGAGAUUAAUAUAGUACUAGUAUUGCUUAAAUAAAAGGAGCCAAACACCACCACCAUGGUUAAUUGUGAUGAUUCGGUGUGGUUUUUUUAAAAAAGUGGAAAAAAGACAAAACAGAGACCACCACCAUUAAUGACUUUCAUUCGAUACCAACAAGACAUGACUCUCCUCCCGUCUCUUUUCAUUUUCUGAGUGACCCAGAAUUUUUUUUCAUUCUUUCAAAAAUCCGUCGAUAUCUCGUUUUGAUUUGAAUCUGAAACAAACAAAACACCUAUAAACACGUGAACAGUCUGCUGUUUUGUUUCCAGGUAAUGAUCUUUUUUUUUCUUUUUUUUUUUUAAUUUGAGGUCUUUUUGUCUGAAAUCGAGAAAAAGAUCGAUAAAUCACCAAAUUCCGAAAUUGGGUUCUCGGGUCAAUGAUUUAUGUUAAUAUGAAUCAUCGUGUGACGAAUAUAUCUCAAAAGGUCAAAACUUUCGAGAUUUUUUUUUUGAGAACCCUUUCUCUGUUUUGUUGUCUUUGAAACUUUUGAUUUGAUGGAUUGUUUGUUUGAAAUUGUUUCUUAGGGUAAAGAGAAUGUUGAGAUAAAUGACAUUGAGGUUUGCAUUUCUUUACAGAGAUUUCUGCUUAAAACGUGGUUUGAAUUUAAAAGUUUAAAAACUUUGUUUUUUUUUUUUGGUUUAAAACCUUGCUUGCACGAUCUUUUAUUAGCUGUCAUAGAGUUAGAUUUGCUGAUUCUUGUCCUAGUUAGAUCUCUAUUAUUCUGUUUCUCUGUCUAUUUAGAUUGAAUAAUAAUUAUCUCUGCAAAGAAAAUAGUUAUAUAUUUUUUUCUUUUUGUUGAUGUUUGAUAGUUCUGCCAUUCAUUACUGUUCGUUCAUUGGAAUGGUGCAAAGCAUUGUUCAUAGCUUUGGUACCUAUCUGAAAGUGCAUUAAAUAUUUUUGCUUCAAUUCUUUGUUUACUUUUGAGUUGUUUUAUUUUAUACUUUAGUUGCUUUAGGAAGCUAACACAUCACAUAAGUCUACUUUUUUCUCAGUAUCAAGUUAUGUGAUUGCUAAUUUUAUGUUGUUUUUGAUUCCUUUUUUUUUUUACUCUUGCAGCAUAACAAAUAGAUCCAAAAGGAGCAAAUCAUCUGACUACAAGUGAAAGAACAAAGGCAUUUCACUCACCAUGGCUCCUGGAGGCAGUGCUUUGAAAGAAGUCCUUGAAUCCACUUCGACUGGAAUGGACUACGAGGUUAAAAUAGCAAAAGCGGAAGCUAAUAAUAACAAUAACAAACCUACAAAGUCAGGCAUCGCAGGGAGUGGAAAGUAUGGCAUGCAUUCAAACAAUGGUGUCUACGAGCUUCUUGAAUGUCCAGUGUGCACAAACUUAAUGUACCCUCCAAUUCAUCAGGUUCGUCUCUCACUUUCUAUCUCCCUGUUAAAAGUUUUGUAAUUGCAAAGCGUAACGUUGUUUAAAUUCUACAGUGUCCAAAUGGCCACACCUUAUGUUCAAACUGCAAAGCGAGAGUGCAGAACACUUGCCCUACAUGUCGUUACGAGCUUGGUAACAUAAGAUGCUUAGCUCUGGAGAAAGUUGCAGAGUCCUUGGAAGUUCCAUGCCGGUACCAGAGUUUGGGCUGUCAUGACAUUUUUCCUUACUACAGCAAGCUUAAACACGAGCAGCACUGCAGGUUUAGGCCUUACGCUUGUCCUUAUGCUGGCUCUGAGUGUUCGGUUACAGGUGAUAUCCCCACGCUAGUUGUUCAUUUGAAAGAUGAUCAUAAGGUUGAUAUGCAUGACGGAUGCACUUUUAACCACCGUUAUGUGAAGUCAAAUCCACAUGAAGUCGAGAAUGCCACAUGGAUGCUUACGGUAUAGUUUUCUUGUUUAUCAAUAUGGUUUCUUGUAGUGAUGGGCAUUCUGGUUUUUGGUUCGGGUUAUUUGUGUUCGGGUGUUUAAGACCUGUUUAGGAACCAAACAUUUUUUGGAUCGGAUGGGUUCGGGUAUUAUCGGGUUCAGGUCGGUUUUCUAUUUUUUUAUAAAACUCGACGAAUUAGAAAUAGUUUAGGAUUAAUUUGUGUUAAACCCGAAAAAACCAAAAAAUAUUCGGGUAAUUUGGAUAAUUCAGAUUUUUUUAUUUAUAAAUUAUAUUUUAUAUAAUAAAUAUUAACAAUAAUUAAUAUGUUAUUAUAUUUUAAAUAUUGGGUAGGUGUCCGGUUCUCAGUUCUGGUUUGGUUUUGGUUUUCCGGUGUAGAGAUAUAGAAACCGUUUGAGUUUUUGUAAAUUUCGGUUCGGUUUUUGGGUUUAGGAUAAUAUAUGCCCAUGACUAGUUUCUUGCUACACCGUUGAGUACUAUAUCUGAUAGGGGUACUUGGUCUCAUUUUCACAUUAAUCCUCCAAUACAUGUUGCUUUACACUCUAACUUGCAUUCGGUUUUACAGGUGUUCAACUGCUUUGGGAGACAGUUCUGUUUACACUUUGAAGCGUUCCAGCUGGGGAUGGCUCCAGUGUACAUGGCAUUCCUUCGUUUCAUGGGAGAUGAAAACGAGUCAAAGAAGUUCAGUUACAGUUUGGAAGUAGGAGCUCAUGGACGUAAACUAACAUGGCAAGGAAUCCCUAGAAGCAUCCGUGACAGUCACAGGAAAGUAAGGGACAGUCAAGACGGUCUCAUCAUCCCAAGGAACCUUGCACUCUACUUCUCUGGAGGUGAUAGGCAAGAACUCAAGUUGAGAGUGACCGGUCGAAUCUGGAAAGAAGAGUAAACCAAGAAAGAAAUGAUUGAAAAUUUGAUGUACAUAAGAAGAAGCCUCUCAAGGAGAGCUAGUGAUCGUAUGGAAGAUUUGAAAUUGGUUGUCCGUUUUAGUCUGUCAUGAUGGAUUCUUCUCCAAUGGAGAUGAAGAUGAGAUGAUGAUAAUCUUCUAGGAUGAAUCAGUUUGGAGGGAGCCAUUGUUACCAUCUCUGUACUUUUUGGUUUCUUUUGUUGUUGGGUUUGUGUGGUUUCAGACAGGGAAUGUAGGAGAAAGACAUAUGAUUUUGGCUAUGUUCUUGUUGUAAAACCAUGUCCGAAACAGUUUGGUGCAUUUUUUCUUUGUUCACAGUGGUGAUUUUGAUGCAAGAGCAUUAUUGGAACCUUUUUUAGAGACUACAUAGAUGUCAGCUCGCACAGGAAGCAGACAAAGACGCUUUAGUGCUGAGAUGCAUUUGAAUCAAACAAGUAUAAGCCAAACUUACCAUUUCAACCCCCGUUAAUACAUGCUAAACUGUUAGCUUUAUACGUGUCUGUAUUGGCUUCAGUGAAGAAUUGAAGGAGCUUGAAGGUUUCUUAGAGGAGAUGAGGAGACUAUGAAUACAAAAACGUGAAAGAACAAAAAGACUUGUGGCAGUCACAGUCACAGUCACAGGUUAGUCCUUGUUCUAAUCUUCUAACAAUUUCUCACUUUUAUGUGUAAACGCAAUCUCAAACACAGACAUCUACGUUUAAAACAAUCUGAGAUAGAAGGAUAUUUUUGAAGUAUAGUGAUGUGAAAACUUUUGUGGGAAAAUUUAUAACAAAAUAUAUGGUAGCAUGUAUCCCAACUAAAUAAAAUGUCAUUUCAAAGUAUGUAAAUGUUGUCUGAUUUGAAGAAAAAUUGUAAAUUGUCAAGUAUCCAAAGAAGUUUUUUAUUAAACAAAAAAAAUUGUAAAUUGUCAAGUACAAAAACAAUAAAGGCGCCACGAAAAAAACGAGCAAAAACACAUAUAUUUAUACAUGUAUAUUACUCUCAUAAAUCAUUUGGGAUUGUAGAAAAAAUAGAAUGUUCUGGUUUGUGAUGGCAUUCAAAAUCGAGGUGAACAAAAGCUCUUUCCACUUCUGGAAGUUCUUCAAGCUUUAUUUGCAAUGAUUCACCAAUUGCAUGAGCUUCUUUUAAUGGUAAAUCCUCUGGAAG
Molecule: long non-coding RNA, 6757 nt
Filed under: Brassica napus (rape)
Lineage: Eukaryota; Viridiplantae; Streptophyta; Magnoliopsida; Brassicales; Brassicaceae
Description: long non-coding RNA (BNAP_LNC014561)
Rfam family: tRNA (bases 1871-1952)
Source: RNAcentral